This 77-nucleotide transfer RNA is filed under the name Rhizoctonia solani AG-1 IB. RNAcentral's name for it is "tRNA-Ala". The record is from RNAcentral. Lineage: Eukaryota; Fungi; Basidiomycota; Agaricomycetes; Cantharellales; Ceratobasidiaceae.
AUUUGAGGAGGUCAGGAGUUCAAUUCUCCUCUUGUCCAGGGCAUGUAGUGUAGGGGUUAUCGCGCCUCAUUUGCAAG